GAUGAAGAACGUAGCGAAAUGCGAUAAUUAAUGUGAAUUGCAGAAUUCAGUGAAUCAUCGAAUCUUUGAACGCACAUUGCGCCCGCCAGUAUUCUGGCGGGCAUGCCUGUUCGAGCGUCAUUUCAACCAUCAAGCCCCAGGCUUGUGUUGGGGACCUGCGGCUGCCGCAGGCCCUGAAAACCAGUGGCGGGCUCGCUGUCACACCGGGCGUAGUAGAUUUUAUCUCGCUCAGGGCGUGCUGCGGGUUCCGGCCGUUAAAAAGCCUUUUUUACCCAAGGUUGACCUCGGAUCAGGUAGGAAGACCCGCUGAACUUAAGCAUAUCAAUAAGCGGAGGA
Molecule: unclassified non-coding RNA, 336 nt
Filed under: soil metagenome
Description: partial contains 5.8S ribosomal RNA, internal transcribed spacer 2, and large subunit ribosomal RNA
Rfam family: 5.8S ribosomal RNA (bases 1-120)
Source: RNAcentral